RNAcentral lists this long non-coding RNA (3997 nucleotides) under Hordeum vulgare. RNAcentral describes it as "long non-coding RNA (HVUL_LNC000835)". Lineage: Eukaryota; Viridiplantae; Streptophyta; Magnoliopsida; Poales; Poaceae. The record is from RNAcentral.
UUUAACCAAAGACCGAACCGAAAGAACUGGGACCGAGAUCGAAUAAACCGAAACCAAGUAUUUUAAUUCCUAAUUCGGGCAGGAGUUCACAAAAACCAAAUUUACGUUGAAAUUUUCGGUUUUGACUCUCAGUCACCCGAAUUGACCGAAAAAUGAAUAAAUACAAGUAGAUGGGCUGAAACCAAUUUAUAGCCUAGAAACCCGGCUCAAUAUCCUACUACUUCAACCCACCUAACUACAAACCCUUAUCCUUUCCACGUAUGACUAAUUUCACCACACCUCAUUUUCCUUCUUCGGGACUACAUCCGUAGCUCUCUUCCCCUACAUAUUUCCCAUGGAGGAAAUGAGAGCAACCCCAACGCAGCGAUCCAUUUUUUCCGUUUGGGUCAUCCGGACACAAAAGCUAGCCCAACGAGAUGACCCAAACGGACGCGCGCGUCCGUCUGCUGUCCGUUUGUUGUCCAUCCCACCCAAACUUGCGCAAAACUGGGUCACAAAUGGGUCCGAGGCGGACAAAACUGCACACUUCCCUCAUCCGCUCCUCCCCCCUCUUGUCCACCCUGGUCCCACCUAUCAACGACCUGCCGCGGCUGCUGAUGUUUGGGUGCUGCCCUCGUCCACUCCUCCCGGUGCUGCGGGCGAUGCGCGGCGCCACGCGGACCGUGGAGGAUAGUCAAGACGGGCCGACCUGCUCGCCGGCGACCCCGAUCUGCUCGCCGGUGACCCCGAGGUGCACACGCUCUGCCGCCUGAUCGCCACUGCAGGGCCCUCUCUUGGUGCGCUUACGAGGAGGUGGAGGGAGGCGGAGGUGGGGUGGUUGGAGGACUGCGGGCCCGGUGCCAGCGGUGCAAGGCGAGGCGGGGGAUCACGCGCACGGUAGGUGGCGUCACGGCGGAGAUCCAGUCCUGGGCGGACCGUGAGCUCGCCGCGCGCCUUGUGGCUGUGCUGAGGGGCGCGAACUACGCUCGGGCGCGCGUGCUAUUGGCGGGUGCUGCUAUCAGGGGAGGUGGGGUGCUGCUGAAUCCGGCCAGGGAGGGGAGGUGUGGAUAAGGGAGAAGGUGGGGAGGGGAGGUGGUGUGCUGGUGGAUUCACGCUGACAACCUCGUGCGUUGGGUUCGUCCACCCAUCGCGCGUGUCCGCCUCAUGUCCGUUAGGCGGACGGGUGAUCCAAACGAACAAAAUCCAGAUAAAAUUUGUCUCCGUUUGGGUCGCCCCGUUGGAGUUGACUUGACCAUUGCUAAUGUGGAUCCAAUCUCGGUCCUUCUCCACCAGGCCAUAGCUCUAGCCCUAGCAACCGCCAGCCUUCAGCUGCCUCUCCUUCUCUCCACCUCAGUAGCCAAUCCAUUCUGCUGGUUCCACCACCUCUCGUCCUUAACUCGCGAUGGUGCGCCUCCAUCUGCUCCAGGUGAGCAAGACCAGUAGUCGGGCGAGUUUGAGCUAUCAAACGUCAGCGUCGCAACCCAGCUGAAUUUCUGUCGCGUUUCCUCUACUGUCGGUUAAUUCGACAAGAAUAAGGACCGAACCGACCACCGAACCCUCGGUUAGUUCCUAUGAAUAUGACCGAUCGGUCAUCCUUUUUCCGAGACCGAUAUUUGUAGUAAGCCAAAGAACUGAACCGAUCAGUUCGGUUUAACUGAACGCCCACGCCUACCGCAGAUAGCCCCAGGUGCACCUUCAAAACGAGUAAGCGUCUUCGUGUGUAUACACUUUCAGUUUCUGGAAAGCGGAUUCACCCCGAACCAUUUUCUUUUUAGAUCUUUUUUAAAACUAUUGUUUGACUAAAACUUUGACUUGCUCUAACUUUUGGAAUAAAACUCCAAAUGAGUUGAUUCUUUUUCAGUUGUUUUUCAAAUCUCAGCUUGUUUAUUGUUAUAUUGAUUUCAAAUAAUUUUGAACAUAUAUGAUGUUUUGUAAUUAUGUGUUAAAAGGAAUAUUUUCAAAAAUAGGAAUUUGAAGGGAAGAACUUUCAAAGUUUUGGAGUGAGCUCAACCAUUCUGCAUACUCAAGGCAAACAUCUUGAAUCCUAUUUGGCUUAAGUGCGUGACUGAUUGCUGCGAUGAUCGGAUGCAUGGUUUUGUUACUUAAAUACAACUCCCCAUAGUAGCAUACAUUGCAUGAAUACAUGUCAUAUUUGUGUGAUUGCUGUUGAGCAUAUAAUGUCGGUGAUGUGUGGGUACUACCUCCUGCCACGUAUGCCAUGUGGGUGUGGACAACCUGGAGGAAGGUUUGUCAUGGUGAAGAUGUGACCAUGAAACUGAUAUCUCAUGGCGACGAGAGUGAUCAGUGUGGGUAUAUUGAGGUGUGAUGGUGGUAUCCCCAAUGAAUUUUAUUCACAAAAUUGUGUGGUGCUAACCCUUGCAGAUAAAACACUUAAACCUCCUGAGUCGACCAUAGAUCGAGUCUUGUGAGUGCGUCACCUUACUUUUCAUGAUGCCACAGGUCUUCCCAAAAGGGAAUACAAUUUAGAAGGUCGUAAUCCUAUUACCAUGUGCACAUGAAGUGGAGGGGCCGGAUGAAGGUUCCAUGGCCCUGGAACAAUUCCAGGCAUCCGGUCAGGGGGCAUGGGUGUUUUCCGUAUGGGACCGAGAGGGGGACCCUCGCCUUGUAGCACAUGGUGUAAAUUUGAUCCCAUGCUAUUCGAGGAUGUUGGCCUCCCCAUCUUAUAGUUUUUCCCUGGAAGCGUGUCCGGGUGAUUCCAGACCUCGUUGGGUAAAAAUGGGUGUGUGCUGGUUUUGAGUGUUCACUUCUAAAAUACCAUACACGGGAUUAGUCCUAGUGACUAUUGAACCCCAUUGGCUGUGGGUAAAGAGUACACCUGCUGCAGAGUGGAAAACUAUUCAAGUGGUCGUGUCCGCAGUCAAGGACGAUAGGUUGAUAGGCCAAGUGUCGGUCUGAGUGUCAUUCUUCGGAGGAAUAAAUAUAAAGAUGAUGAUGAUCAUGAACCGGGAUGACAACCAUAAUUAUUAUGAAUUUUGCGGUGGACUAAUUAUUUUUGGUAUCCUUGGGACGGUUCUACCUCCCGGAUACUCGAUGUUAUUAUUUUUUUAUAAGCCCUUUAUGUGGUGUCGCAUAGAUGCCUCACUUUGGCAAAUUUUAUUAUUACCAUAUAAAGCCCUUUUUGUUGAGUUACGUAGACGGCCGACAAUGGCAACUACUAGUACUUUCAUAUAAGCCCUUUUUGUGGUGUCGCUUAUACGCCCGACUGUGACACGCAUGUUAUUACUUAUUUUAUUAUUGUUAUAUUUUUAUAAGCCCUUUUUGUGGCGUCGCUGAGACGCCCAACUACGAAACACCCGUCAUUAUCUCAUUGUGAGCCCUCUAUGCGGUGUCGCCCAGACGCCCGACUGUAGCUUAUAGUGGGUGUCCUUACGAGGUGUCGCCUAAGAUGCCCGAUCAACACCUUUAAAUUAAUUAUUUCCCCUUUAUUCUGCUUGCUUGUACAUCAUGACUAGAAAUGACUUAACUGCAUAACUGCACCCAUGAAUUUAAUCUUGUGGCAUAUGAGGUGGUAUUAAAAUGUUUGGGAAUGCAUCUCACCUGCAUUUACUUAUGUGUCUUCUUCAUGAUUGCGAGUUCAUCCAAAGUACUCAUUGGCUUGUCCCUGGCUAUUGCCUUGGCUAGAUCGCAUAUUUGGAGAGGAGCAUGAUGAUUGCAACCCCGGAACCUGAGAGUUGAGGAUAGAAGCCUUGUGAGAUAGGAAUUAUCCAGGUCAGCUGUUCUUGUGGGAAUGGAGCCCCAUGGGCACUUGAGAUUCCACGAGUUGCUUCCGUCGUCAACCUUUCGACAUUUUUGUCCAACCUCCCUCAUGGACCUUCAUGGUAUUGUACCCCAAACUUUGUAAUUGCUUGGGAAUUUUGUAUCAAGUGAGUGUUAACCAUCUAAUAGUAGUCCUAGGGCUGAUGAUCACAAGGGCCUGUUUUCUGGAAAUUUUAUUCCGAAAAAACGGAUGCUACAUCACCCCAUGUUUAUUUAUCAUGUCAAGUCAUCUGACUUCAUG